RNAcentral lists this ribosomal RNA (253 nucleotides) under uncultured bacterium. RNAcentral's name for it is "partial 16S ribosomal RNA". It matches the Rfam family "Bacterial small subunit ribosomal RNA", at positions 524 to 776 of the family's 1533-position model. The record is from RNAcentral.
UACGUAGGGUGCAAGCGUUGUCCGGAAUUACUGGGCGUAAAGCGUGCGCAGGCGGUUUUGUAAGCCAGAUGUGAAAUCCCCGGGCUCAACCUGGGAAUGGCAUUUGGGACUGCAAGGCUGGAGUGCGGCAGAGGAGACUGGAAUUCCUGGUGUAGCAGUGAAAUGCGUAGAUAUCAGGAGGAAUACCGAUGGCGAAGGCAGGUCUCUGGGCUGACACUGACGCUCAUGCACGAAAGCGUGGGGAGCAAACAGG